CCUACGGGUGGCAGCAGUGGGGAAUAUUGGGCAAUGGGCGCAAGCCUGACCCAGCAACGCCGCGUGAAGGAAGAAGGCUUUCGGGUUGUAAACUUCUUUUAAGAGGGGAGAGAAGAAGACGGUACCUCUUGAAUAAGCCACGGCUAAAUACGUGACAGCAGCCGCGGUAAGACGUAGGUGGCAAGCGUUGUCCGGAUUUACUGGGGGUAAAGGGCGUGCAGCCGGGAAGACAAGUCAGAUGUGAAAUCCCGCGGCUUAACCGCGGAACUGCAUUUGAAACUGUUUUUCUUGAGUACAGGAGAGGUCAUCGGAAUGCCUUGUGUAGCGGUGAAAUGCGUAGAUAUAAGGAAGAACACCAGUGGCGAAGGCGGAUGACUGGACGGCAACUGACGGUGAGGCGCGAAAGCGUGGGGAGCAAACAGGAUUAGAUACCCCUGUAGUC
RNAcentral lists this ribosomal RNA (442 nucleotides) under uncultured bacterium. Its description in RNAcentral is "partial 16S ribosomal RNA". It matches the Rfam family "Bacterial small subunit ribosomal RNA", at positions 338 to 795 of the family's 1533-position model. The record is from RNAcentral.